UCGUAACAAGGUCUCCGUUGGUGAACCAGCGGAGGGAUCAUUACCGAGUUUUCAACUCCCAAACCCUUUUGUGAACAUACCUAUCGUUGCUUCGGCGGACUCGCCCCAGCGUCCGGCCGGCCCCGCGCCGGCCGCGGCCUGGAUCCAGGCGGCCGCCGGAGACCCCCAAACUCUGUAUUCUCAGUAUCUUCUGAAUCCGCCGCAAGGCAAAACAAAUGAAUCAAAACUUUCAACAACGGAUCUCUUGGUUCUGGCAUCGAUGAAGAACGCAGCGAAAUGCGAUAAGUAAUGUGAAUUGCAGAAUUCAGUGAAUCAUCGAAUCUUUGAACGCACAUUGCGCCCGCCAGCAUUCUGGCGGGCAUGCCUGUUCGAGCGUCAUUUCAACCCUCGACUUCCCUUUGGGGAAAUCGGCGUUGGGGACCGGCCGUAUACCGCCGGCCCCGAAAUGAAGUGGCGGCCCGUCCGCGGCGACCUCUGCGUAGUAAUCCAACUCGCACCGGAACCCCGACGUGGCCACGCCGUAAAACCCCCGACUUCUGAACGUUGACCUCGGAUCAGGUAGGAAUACCCGCUGAACUUAAGCAUAUCAA
Molecule: ribosomal RNA, 590 nt
Filed under: Cordyceps farinosa
Lineage: Eukaryota; Fungi; Ascomycota; Sordariomycetes; Hypocreales; Cordycipitaceae
Description: eukaryotic LSU rRNA
Rfam family: 5.8S ribosomal RNA (bases 225-378)
Source: RNAcentral